RNAcentral lists this transfer RNA (73 nucleotides) under Zootermopsis nevadensis. It matches the Rfam family "tRNA". From Rfam's summary of the family: Transfer RNA (tRNA) molecules are approximately 80 nucleotides in length. Their secondary structure includes four short double-helical elements and three loops (D, anti-codon, and T loops). Further hydrogen bonds mediate the characteristic L-shaped molecular structure. tRNAs have two regions of fundamental functional importance: the anti-codon, which is responsible for specific mRNA codon recognition, and the 3' end, to which the tRNAs corresponding amino acid is attached (by aminoacyl-tRNA synthetases). tRNAs cope with the degeneracy of the genetic code in two manners: having more than one tRNA (with a specific anti-codon) for a particular amino acid; and 'wobble' base-pairing, i.e. permitting non-standard base-pairing at the 3rd anti-codon position. The record is from Rfam by way of RNAcentral. Lineage: Eukaryota; Metazoa; Arthropoda; Insecta; Blattodea; Termopsidae.
GCCACGGUCGUCUAGCUGUUAGAACGCUGGCCUUGUAAUCCUGGGGUCUCGGGUUCGAUUCCCGGCGGUGCCC